AUACGAAGGGACCUAGCGUAGUUCGGAAUUACUGGGCUUAAAGAGUUCGUAGGUGGUUGAAAAAGUUAGUGGUGAAAUCCCAGAGCUUAACUCUGGAACUGCCAUUAAAACUUUUCAGCUAGAGUAUGAUAGAGGAAAGCAGAAUUUCUAGUGUAGAGGUGAAAUUCGUAGAUAUUAGAAAGAAUACCAAUUGCGAAGGCAGCUUUCUGGAUCAUUACUGACACUGAGGAACGAAAGCAUGGGUAGCGAAGAGGAUUAGAUACCCUCGUAGUCCAUGCCGUAAACGAUGUGUGUUAGACGUUGGAAAUUUAUUUUCAGUGUCGCAGGGAAACCGAUAAACACACCGCCUGGGGAGUACGACCGCAAGGUUAAAACUCAAAUGAAUUGACGGGGACCCGCACAAGUAGUGGAGCAUGUGGUUUAAUUCGAAGAUACGCGCAGAACCUUACCAACACUUGACAUGUUCGUCGCGACUUUAAGAGAUUAAAGUUUUCGGUUACGGCCGGACGAAACACAGGUGCUGCAUGGCUGUCGUC
Molecule: ribosomal RNA, 536 nt
Filed under: uncultured bacterium
Lineage: Bacteria
Description: bacterial SSU rRNA
Rfam family: Bacterial small subunit ribosomal RNA
Source: RNAcentral